Molecule: long non-coding RNA, 368 nt
Filed under: Homo sapiens (human)
Lineage: Eukaryota; Metazoa; Chordata; Mammalia; Primates; Hominidae
Description: HSALNT0408140
Source: RNAcentral
ACGGUGUUUGGUUUUUUGUUCUUGUGAUAGUUUACUGAGAAUGAUGAUUUCCAAUUUCAUCCAUGUCCCUACAAAGGACAUGAACUCAUCAUUUUUAUGGCUGCAUAGUAUUCCAUGGUGUAUAUGUGCCACAUUUUCUGAAUCCAGUCUAUCAUUGUUGGACUUUUGGGUUGGUUCCAAGUCUUUGCUAUUGUGAAUAGUGCCGCAAUAAACAUACGUGUGCAUGUGUCUUUAUAGCAGCAUGAUUUAUAGUCCUUUGGGUAUAUACCCAGUAAUGACAUGGCUGGGUCAAAUGGUAUUUCUAGUUCUAGAUCCCUGAGGAAUCACCACACUGACUUCGAAAAGGUUGAACUGGUUUACAGUCCCAC